This 477-nucleotide ribosomal RNA is filed under the name uncultured anaerobic ammonium-oxidizing bacterium. RNAcentral describes it as "bacterial SSU rRNA". It matches the Rfam family "Bacterial small subunit ribosomal RNA", at positions 365 to 832 of the family's 1533-position model. The record is from RNAcentral.
UUCGCAAUGCCCGAAAGGGUGACGAAGCGACGCCGCGUGCGGGAAGAAGGCCUUCGGGUUGUAAACCGCUGUCGGGAGUUAGAAAAUGCAAGGAUGUUAAUAGCGUCUUUGCUUGACUAAGGCUCCGGAGGAAGCCACGGCUAACUCUGUGCCAGCAGCCGCGGUAAUACAGAGGCGGCAAGCGUUGUUCGGAAUUAUUGGGCGUAAAGAGCACGUAGGCGGCCGUGUAAGUCGGUUGUGAAAGCCUUCCGCUCAACGGGAGAACGGCAUCCGAUACUGCAUGGCUCGAGUGCGGGAGGGGAGAGUGGAACUUCUGGUGGAGCGGUGAAAUGCGUAGAUAUCAGAAGGAACACCGGCGGCGAAGGCGACUCUCUGGCCCGUAACUGACGCUGAGUGUGCGAAAGCUAGGGGAGCAAACGGGAUUAGAUACCCCGGUAGUCCUAGCCGUAAACGAUGGGCACUAAGUAGAGGGGUUUU